AGACGUCAAUCAUCAUGCCCCUUAUGUCCUGGGCCACACACGUACUACAAUGGUGGUUAACAGAGGGAGGCAAGACCGUGAGGUGGAGCAAAUCCCUAAAAGCCAUCCCAGUUCGGAUUGCAGGCUGCAACCCGCCUGCAUGAAGUUGGAAUCGCUAGUAAUCGCGGAUCAGCAUGCCGCGGUGAAUACGUUCCCGGGCCUUGUACACACCGCCCGUCACACCAUGAGAGUCGGGAACACCCGAAGUCCGUAGCCUAACCGCAAUGGGGGCGCGGCCGAAGGUGGGUUCGAUAAUUGGGGUGAAGUCGUAACAGGUAACCGUUA
This 324-nucleotide ribosomal RNA is filed under the name uncultured bacterium. RNAcentral describes it as "bacterial SSU rRNA". It matches the Rfam family "Bacterial small subunit ribosomal RNA", at positions 1180 to 1505 of the family's 1533-position model. The record is from RNAcentral.